GUGGGUAACCUGCCCAGAAGCAGGGGAUAACACCUGGAAACAGAUGCUAAUACCGUAUAACAGAGAAAACCGCCUGGUUUUCUUUUACUGCUUCACUUCUGGAUGGACCCGCGGCGCAUUAGCUAGUUGGUGAGGUAACGGCUCACCAAGGCGAUGAUGCGUAGCCGACCUGAGAGGGUAAUCGGCCACAUUGGGACUGAGACACGGCCCAGACUCCUACGGGAGGCAGCAGUAGGGAAUCUUCCACAAUGGACGCAAGUCUGAUGGAGCAACGCCGCGUGAGUGAAGAAGGGUUUCGGCUCGUAAAGCUCUGUUGUUAAAGAAGAACGUGGGUGAGAGUAACUGUUCACCCAGUGACGGUAUUUAACCAGAAAGCCACGGCUAACUACGUGCCAGCAGCCGCGGUAAUACGUAGGUGGCAAGCGUUAUCCGGAUUUAUUGGGCGUAAAGCGAGCGCAGGCGGUCUUUUAAGUCUAAUGUGAAAGCCUUCGGCUCAACCGAAGAAGUGCAUUGGAAACUGGGAGACUGAGUGCAGAAGAGGACAGUGGAACUCCAUGUGUAGCGGUGAAAUGCGUAGAUAUAUGGAAGAACACCAGUGGCGAAGGCGGCUGUCUGGUCUGUAACUGACGCUGAGGCUCGAAAGCAUGGGUAGCGAACAGAAUUAGAUACCCUGGUAGUCCAUGCCGUAAACGAUGAUUACUAGUGUUGGAGGGUUUCCGCCCUUCAGUGCUGCAGCUAACGCAUUUAAGUAAUCCGCCUGGGGAGUACGACCGCAAGGUUGAAACUCAAAAGAAUUGACGGGGGCCCGCACAAGCGGUGGAGCAUGUGGUUUAAUUCGAAGCUACGCGAAGAACCUUACCAGGUCUUGACAUCUUCUGCCAACCUAAGAGAUUAGGCGUUCCCUUCGGGGACAGAAUGACAGGUGGUGCAUGGUUGUCGUCAGCUCGUGUCGUGAGAUGUUGGGUUAAGUCCCGCAACGAGCGCAACCCUUAUUACUAGUUGCGCAUUCAGUUGGGCACUCUAGUGAGACUGCCGGUGACAAACCGGAGGAAGGUGGGGACGACGUCAAAUCAUCAUGCCCCUUAUGACCUGGGCUACACACGUGCUACAAUGGAUGGUACAACGAGUUGCGAAACCGCGAGGUUUAGCUAAUCAUUCUCAGUUCGGACUGUAG
Molecule: ribosomal RNA, 1174 nt
Filed under: Pediococcus acidilactici
Lineage: Bacteria; Bacillati; Bacillota; Bacilli; Lactobacillales; Lactobacillaceae
Description: bacterial SSU rRNA
Rfam family: Bacterial small subunit ribosomal RNA
Source: RNAcentral